GAAGGUGUAGCUCAGUGGUAGAGCACAUGCUUAGUAUGCACAAGGCCCUGGGUUUGAGUCUCACCACCCCCA
This 72-nucleotide transfer RNA is filed under the name Heterocephalus glaber (naked mole-rat). It matches the Rfam family "tRNA". From Rfam's summary of the family: Transfer RNA (tRNA) molecules are approximately 80 nucleotides in length. Lineage: Eukaryota; Metazoa; Chordata; Mammalia; Rodentia; Bathyergidae. The record is from Rfam by way of RNAcentral.